UUGCCUACGGGAGGCAGCAGUGAGGAAUAUUGGUCAAUGGGCGGGAGCCUGAACCAGCCAAGUCGCGUGAAGGAAGAAGGUACUUAGUAUUGUAAACUUCUUUUGUCGGGGAACAAAGGCGGAGACGCGUCUCUGGAUGAGUGUACCCGAAGAAAAAGCAUCGGCUAACUCCGUGCCAGCAGCCGCGGUAAUACGGAGGAUGCGAGCGUUAUCCGGAUUUAUUGGGUUUAAAGGGUGCGCAGGCGGCACGGCAAGCCGGCGGUCAAAUCGCGGGGCUCAACCCCGCCCAGCCGUCGGAACUGCCG
This 305-nucleotide ribosomal RNA is filed under the name uncultured bacterium. Its description in RNAcentral is "bacterial SSU rRNA". It matches the Rfam family "Bacterial small subunit ribosomal RNA", at positions 335 to 638 of the family's 1533-position model. The record is from RNAcentral.